AGCUAAUACCGCAUAACGUCGCAAGACCAAAGAGGGGGACCUUCGGGCCUCUUGCCAUCGGAUGUGCCCAGAUGGGAUUAGCUAGUAGGUGGGGUAACGGCUCACCUAGGCGACGAUCCCUAGCUGGUCUGAGAGGAUGACCAGCCACACUGGAACUGAGACACGGUCCAGACUCCUACGGGAGGCAGCAGUGGGGAAUAUUGCACAAUGGGCGCAAGCCUGAUGCAGCCAUGCCGCGUGUAUGAAGAAGGCCUUCGGGUUGUAAAGUACUUUCAGCGGGGAGGAAGGGAGUAAAGUUAAUACCUUUGCUCAUUGACGUUACCCGCAGAAGAAGCACCGGCUAACUCCGUGCCAGCAGCCGCGGUAAUACGGAGGGUGCAAGCGUUAAUCGGAAUUACUGGGCGUAAAGCGCACGCAGGCGGUUUGUUAAGUCAGAUGUGAAAUCCCCGGGCUCAACCUGGGAACUGCAUCUGAUACUGGCAAGC
Molecule: ribosomal RNA, 485 nt
Filed under: Escherichia coli
Lineage: Bacteria; Pseudomonadati; Pseudomonadota; Gammaproteobacteria; Enterobacterales; Enterobacteriaceae
Description: bacterial SSU rRNA
Rfam family: Bacterial small subunit ribosomal RNA
Source: RNAcentral